Molecule: ribosomal RNA, 1723 nt
Filed under: Triticum aestivum (bread wheat)
Lineage: Eukaryota; Viridiplantae; Streptophyta; Magnoliopsida; Poales; Poaceae
Description: partial small subunit ribosomal RNA
Source: RNAcentral
UUUUUUUGUGUUUGGGGUCUCGGUCUCGGUCUAGGUCGCCUUUGGGUUGGGUUUGGUUCGAGGCCGCGCCGGUACCUAGGGGACCGGCACGAGGCCCUGAUGCGGCGGGCGCCGCUGGACCUGUUCUAGUAGAAGUUGCCGCUGCUGCACGAGAAGCCGCUGCUGAUGUGGAAGGGCCGGUUGCAGGGGUGGCGGAAGUGGAGGUUCGUCAGCCCGGCGGGGAUGGGCGAGAGGCGGCGGCAGAAGGAGCGCGUCGUGUUGCUGGAGUUCGUGUGGCUGAAGGAGGUCCGGCGGGCGGAGGCGGCCUAGGGCGGGCAAAGGGAGGGCCUGGCGUUCUGGAAGGAGCUGAAGGAGGUGAAGCCCCUGUCGAGGGAGGGGAGGCGGCUCGGGGAGGAGGGGAGGAGGAAGCGCGUCCUGCGGGUGGGCGGGGGCGGCGGCGGCGGGGGCCUCCUCCUCCCCCUCCUGGGGCUGCGGCUGCUCCGGAGGUGGCGGGUGCAGGCGCGGGAGCUCGCCGGGGAGUUCCUGGCGUUGCGGCAGGAGCUGCGGGCGCCGGCGCUGAAGGAGCGGUAGAUGGUGCGGCGCGACGCGGCGCUCCUCCUGGCGGACGCCUUGUUCCUGCGGCACGGGAGGCGGUGCCCGGCCGUGCUCGGUAGGCGGUGUCGGCGGCGGCGGGAGCGCUUGGGGUUCGAACUGUUCAGCGAGCCGCUGCCGAAGCACGGGUAGUAUGACCACGGAUCGCGCAGUGUCUGCGACUAUUGUUAGAUGUUGCACUUCCUGAAGGACCUCCUGAAGCACAAGCACGGGUCGCUGCUCUUCUACGCCCGGUACUUCCCCUCGGGGUUCGGGCUCACGCAGUGGGACGUCUUCUUCGUGCAGGCGCCCCGACCGCCAGGCCACCGUAAGCUCCAGUCCCUGUUCGGCCGGAGCGAGUUCCGGCUGCUGACCCGCGCCCAGCACCGGCACAAACACGAGCCUUUCCUCACCGUCAAGUUCCUGACCGGGAAGUUCCCAGUACAGCUGUAGAAGUUGUUUCAAUAACCCAAGAAACAUGCGAAACUUCUACUAUCACACCUAAGUCGUUUUCACCAGUUCGUCACCUUACAGUUUUAGUAUAGAUAUUCGUUCUUAUUUUCCGUAGUCCUGUCUGGUCGACGAGAACUCCACACCCUAGCCGACCUACUUAAACACGCCCGUGCGAGUAUCAGCGACAACACUGGCUUUAUGAGUUUAUGGUACAACCCACUACCUUCACCUGAAUACGACCAACUCUACAGCUGCUCGUCUUGUUCGUGGGGAUCUAGGGUCGGAGCAUAAAGUCCACGGCCAGCUGCCACCUUGCUCUACGGUCCUUGGAUGGAAGGAAGACGUAAGUACUCCUAAACGUAGAAUACACUUAAAGCCAACGAUUCGAUACUACAUCAGAUAGGUUAGACUGUAUAAUUGACAUCUGACCACUGUACCACGAUCCGAUGAAGUGGGCGCCGUAACAACCUCUAUUCACAGCAGUAGGAACACACCUAUAACCCCUUAAUACCGUCCAUCCCCAAUAGGUGGUUUCCUUGUAACAGACUAAGGUAACAACAUUGGGUAGUCCUAGACUUUGGGAUCUUGUAAAACGAAACGAAGCUUGUGUACUUCACAUUGUAAAAGUGACGUUGUACCACAUUGUGCCCGCGCCGGACUUAGAUGUGGCGGAGGAGCAUACCAUGUACCUAUGUAAGCG